GAAUGCGACCACUUCAGGCAUCUGACGGUGGUGGAAAGUWCCGGCGGUGAAGGAUGAGCUCGCGGCCUAUCAUCUUGUUGGCGAGGUAAUGGCUCACCAAGGCUUCGACGGGUAGCCGGCCUGAGAGGGUGACCGGCCACACUGGGACUGAGACACGGCCCAGACUCCUACGGGAGGCAGCAGUGGGGAAUAUUGGACAAUGGGCGAAAGCCUGAUCCAGCAACGCCGCUGUGAGGGAUGACGGCCUUCUGGCUGUAAACCUCUUUCAGCAGGGACGAAGCGAAAGUGACGGUACCUGCAAAAGAAGCACCGGCCA
Molecule: ribosomal RNA, 316 nt
Filed under: uncultured bacterium
Lineage: Bacteria
Description: bacterial SSU rRNA
Rfam family: Bacterial small subunit ribosomal RNA
Source: RNAcentral